This 1177-nucleotide long non-coding RNA is filed under the name Pogona vitticeps (central bearded dragon). Its description in RNAcentral is "lncRNA (ENSPVIG00000023167.1)". The record is from RNAcentral. Lineage: Eukaryota; Metazoa; Chordata; Lepidosauria; Squamata; Agamidae.
CAUAUUUUUUGAAUCGUGCAACGGUGUAGUGGUUCAUGUUUUUAAAUAGUAUGCAUUGUUUGGUGAACACAUUAGGUCUCUGAAACGCUCCAUUAGCCUUGAAAAUGUGCAGAUUCUUGAGAUGAGUUACAGUCCUUCUCACCUCAAUCAUAUGUUCUAAAAAGUGUACUUCUGUUGAGACGGUCAAAUCCAAAGAAUUUUUUUUUAUUCUUAUAUCUACCACAAAUAAUUAUAGCAGCAAAACUGAUGAUUGUUACAGUGGAAGAAACUCAACACAAAACUUUCAGGGUGGAGUUUAACAGUACUGUGCUUCCCAAUGGAAACUAUGUCAUAGACUUCCAUGAGAUGUGCUUCAGCUCCAGGGAAAAGUGCAUAAAUGGGGAAGAUCAGGGAUAUUUGUGAAUUUUUCAUUAGUUACAGUGUGUUUCAAGAAGCCACCAGUCACACUCAGGUCAGUUCAUACGCCCCUACAAAUCAGUGAAGUCUGAUAUUUGGAGUUUUAUUAUGCUAACAUGGGGGGCGGGGGUGCCGGUACUUGCUGGCAGUUGUGAAUUAGAGGGAAUGAAUCUCAUGGUGUAUCCCCAAGGCAUCUUUUAAAAAUAGUGCUACAUCACUUACUGGACUAGGUGUGUUUUAGAACCUUCUUUCUUUGUUUUUCCAUGGGUAGCAACACUAUGUGUAUAUUAUACUUUGGACUGUGUGUGUAUAUAUGAAUGUGGGACAGAUGACUCUUUUUAUGGGCUUUGAUUGGAUAGGUCAAAGUAGCACUAGGAACUAUCUUUUCCCCUUCUCUUUAUUUUCUUCUUUCUUAUAUAUAUUUUAAUGCCAGCUGUAGGCUGAUGCACAGUGAAUUUAAGGAAGGACAGAAACUGGGCAAAUGGCGGGUGAGGGGAAGGGGAAAGCAACUUGUAAAUAUCUAUAGGUGCUCCAAAGUCACUAGCAUUGUGUAGCACUUACCAAAGGAGGUCAGCCCUUUGUUUUUGCAUUCACAGUUUUUCCUUCAUCUAGAAACACACAGAGACCAGCAAAAGAACCCAAGAAUUAAUCAGUUCAGGCCACUUCCAAAACAGUAUGGGUGGGCUGGUCCUAACCUGACCAACAAGAAUACAGGAGGCUGUAAGUGGAUGGUAAUUCACACACUCCUACUUUCAAUAAAACUUUGAAUUUAUUCGUUUCA